UCCACGCCCUAAACGAUGUCAACUAGUUGUUGGAGGAGUGAAAUCCUUUAGUAACGAAGCUAACGCGUGAAGUUGACCGCCUGGGGAGUACGGUCGCAAGAUUAAAACUCAAAGGAAUUGACGGGGACCCGCACAAGCGGUGGAUGAUGUGGAUUAAUUCGAUGCAACGCGAAGAACCUUACCUACCCUUGACAUGUCCGGAACUUGCCAGAGAUGGCUUGGUGCCCGAAAGGGAACCGGAACACAGGUGCUGCAUGGCUGUCGUCAGCUCGUGUCGUGAGAUGUUGGGUUAAGUCCCGCAACGAGCGCAACCCUUAUCAUUAGUUGCUACGCAAGGGCACUCUAAUGAGACUGCCGGUGACAAACCGGAGGAAGGUGGGGAUGACGUCAAGUCCUCAUGGCCCUUAUGG
RNAcentral lists this ribosomal RNA (410 nucleotides) under uncultured bacterium. Its description in RNAcentral is "bacterial SSU rRNA". It matches the Rfam family "Bacterial small subunit ribosomal RNA", at positions 794 to 1207 of the family's 1533-position model. The record is from RNAcentral.